This 691-nucleotide ribosomal RNA is filed under the name uncultured Glomeromycotina. RNAcentral's name for it is "SSU rRNA". It matches the Rfam family "Eukaryotic small subunit ribosomal RNA", at positions 427 to 1113 of the family's 1831-position model. Lineage: Eukaryota; Fungi; Glomeromycota. The record is from RNAcentral.
AGCAGGCGCGCAAAUUACCCAAUCCCGACACGGGGAGGUAGUGACAAUAAAUAACAAUACGGGGCUCUUUCGGGUCUCGUAAUUGGAAUGAGUACAAUUUAAAUCCCUUAACGAGGAACAAUUGGAGGGCAAGUCUGGUGCCAGCGGCCGCGGUAAUUCCAGCUCCAAUAGCGUAUAUUAAAGUUGUUGCAGUUAAAAAGCUCGUAGUUGAAUUUCGGGAUUGACACAUCGGUCGUGCCUUAAGGGGUAUGAACUGGUGUAGUCAAUUUCUCACCUUCUGGAGAACCGCGAUGCCCUUAAUUGGGUGUCACGGGGAACCAGGACCUUUGCUUUGAAAAAAUUAGAGUGUUUAAAGCAGGCAUUUUGCUUGAAUACAUUAGCAUGGAAUAAUAAAAUAGGACGGCAUGAUUCUAUUUUGUUGGUUUCUAGGAUCACCGUAAUGAUUAAUAGGGAUAGUUGGGGGCAUUAGUAUUCAAUUGUCAGAGGUGAAAUUCUUGGAUUUAUUGAAGACUAACUACUGCGAAAGCAUUUGCCAAGGAUGUUUUCAUUAAUCAAGAACGAAAGUUAGGGGAUCGAAGACGAUCAGAUACCGUCGUAGUCUUAACCAUAAACUAUGCCGACUAGGAAUCAGACGAUGUUAAUUUUUUAAUGACUCGUUUGGCACCUUACGGGAAACCAAAGUGUUUGGGUU